UAGCCCUGAAAAUGGAUGGCGCUAAAGCGCCGUACCCAUACCCGGCCGUCGGGACGAGAGGCCUGUCCCGACGAGUAGGAGGGCGCGGUGGUGGCCGUGCAUCCCGAGGCGCGAGCCUGGGCGAAGCCGCCACUGGUGCAGAUCUUGGUGGUAGUAGCAAAUAUUCAAACGAGAGCUUUGAAGACUGAAGUGGAGAAAGGUUCCAUGUGAACAGCAGUUGGACAUGGGUUAGUCGAUCCUAAGAGAUGGGGAAGCUCCCUAGCAAGGGUGCACUCACUUCUGUGACCGCACCGUCCAUCGAAAGGGAAUCGGGUUAACAUUCCCGAACCGGGACGAGGAUAGGGCCUCGCGCCUACGGCGGCAACGCAAGCGAACUCGGAGACGCCGGCGGGAGCUCCGGGAAGGGUUCUCUUUCCUUCUUAACGGACCGUCACCCUGGAAUCAGAUUGGCUGGAGAUAGGGUCGAAUGUCCGGUAAAGCGCCGCACCUCUGGCGGUGUCCGGUGCGCUCUCGACGGCCCCUGAAAAUCCGAGGGAGCGAAUGAUUCUCUCGCCCGGUCGUACUCAUAACCGCAGCAGGUCUCCAAGGUGAACAGCCUCUAGUUGAUAGAACAAUGUAGGUAAGGGAAGUCGGCAAAACAGAUCCGU
This 647-nucleotide ribosomal RNA is filed under the name Scopalina lophyropoda. RNAcentral's name for it is "eukaryotic LSU rRNA". It matches the Rfam family "Eukaryotic large subunit ribosomal RNA", at positions 1307 to 1931 of the family's 3401-position model. The record is from RNAcentral. Lineage: Eukaryota; Metazoa; Porifera; Demospongiae; Bubarida; Dictyonellidae.